UGCAAACAUAAAUUUAGUAGCAACGUGUUUGCCGGAGGAACAAGUGUCACAUCGUCUCCAGUGGUUCUCGCCUGACUUUCACAUUUUUCCUCUGUGUGUGAACUGGAGCCGGAGCGCAGCGCAGCGCGGAGACGGGAGCGGACCUCUUUCUCCCCGAGUGACCGGACAGGCUGGGGCAGAGGGGCAGACAGACAGACAGACAGACAGACAGCGGGCAGGCACAGUUGCGUCUCUGCUGCUUGACAGCGCACUGAGCUCAUCAGCCUUAGAGAUGGCAGGGGUCUGGUUAUGGACGACUGGACUGGCUCUUCUCGCUGUUUGUGCCAAGGUUGCUGUGUGGGCCAGCGAUGGAGAAGCGGUGUUCAUCAGAGAGUUCACUCUGAUUCGACGGGACCACCUCCCCGAUGAGCCGCUCCACGACAGCAGCCAAAAGCCAGACGACGCGAGCUCGAGGAUGGCCCGAUCAGAAGAGGACAGGGACACACUGUGGGAUGCUUGGGGCUCAUGGAGUGAAUGCUCCCGUACCUGUGGAGGAGGAGCCUCAUACUCCCUUCGACGAUGCCUCAGCUCCAAGACCUGUGAAGGGCAGAAUAUCAAAUAUCGCACAUGCAGUAAUGUGGACUGCCCUCCGGAUGCCGGUGAUUUCCGUGCUCAGCAGUGUUCAGCUUAUGCAGAUGUGCACUACCAGGGGCAGUACCACGAGUGGCUGCCUGUGUACAACGACCCAGAGAACCCCUGUGCCCUCAAGUGCAAAGCCAAGGGCUCGGGUGCUGUAGUGGAGCUGGCUCCCAAGGUGCUGGAUGGGACUCGCUGUUACACCGAAUCCCUGGACAUGUGUAUCAGUGGAGUCUGCCAGAUUGUAGGUUGUGAUCAUGAGCUGGGGAGCACAGCAAAGGAGGACAACUGUGGCAUCUGCAGUGGAGAUGGCUCAUCCUGCCGGCUUGUGCGGGGACACUACAAAUCCCAGCAUGCUUCAGGAAAAACUGAGGAUACAGUCGUCAUCAUCCCCUAUAAGAGUCGUCAUGUACGUCUCGUCCUGAAAGGCCCGGAUCACUUGUAUGUGGAGAGUAAGACCCUGCAAGGGGCGAAGGACGAGCUGGUCUUAGACACAUCAGGCCAGUACCACCUGGAGAACACCACCUUGGACUACCAGAAACUUUCUGAUAAGGAGGUCCUGAGAAUCACUGGCCCACUCGGAGCUGACUUCACUGUUAAAGUGCAGUUCGCCAGUGGAGCAGACAGCGUGGUCCAGUACAUCUACUACCAGCCCAUCAUCCACCGCUGGAGAGAGACCGACUUCUUCCCUUGCUCUGUCACAUGUGGUGGAGGUUACCAGCUGACCUCAGCAGAGUGCUUUGACCUGCGGAGCGGUCGGGUGGUUGUGGACCAGUAUUGUCAUUAUUACCCAGAGAAUGUCAAACCUAAGCCCAAACUGCAGGAGUGCAACCUGGAGCCCUGUCUGGCCAGUGACGGCUACAAACAAAUUAUGCCAUAUGACCUCUACCACCCCCUUCCUCGAUGGGAGAGCAGUCCCUGGACGGCCUGCUCCAUCUCCUGUGGCAGGGGCAUCCAGAGUCGCUCCGUGUCCUGUGUGGAGGAAGACAUGCAUGGAAACAUCACUCCCACCGAGGAGUGGAAGUGUCUGUAUGCUCCCAAGACAGCCAUCCUGCAGCCCUGCAACACCUUCGACUGCCCCACCUGGCUUGCACAGGAGUGGUCACCAUGCACGGUGACCUGCGGUCAGGGGCUGCGCUACAGGGUGGUGUUAUGCAUCGAUCACAGGGGACUGCACGCUGGAGGCUGCAACCCCACCACCAAACCCUACAUCAAGGAGGAGUGUCUGAUACACUCCCAGUAGAGGCGAAAUCUGUGUGGCAUAAGCAGGCCAUAGAGCUGGAGGAUGAAGUCACAGUGACGGAGGAACCGACCUUCAUCCCUGGGCCCUGGCAGCCCUGCAGCAGGACAUGCGGUGCUGGGACCCAGCAACGAACCGUCAAGUGCCAAGUGCUGCUGUCCU
This is an RNA transcript of Monopterus albus (swamp eel), 2017 nucleotides long. It is a transcript of the gene named ADAMTS-like 3, with no coding region annotated. The transcript has 15 exons. NCBI's taxonomy places the organism in Eukaryota, Metazoa, Chordata, Actinopteri, Synbranchiformes, Synbranchidae. The record is from RefSeq and is a predicted model, not a curated record.